CAGUAGCCGCGGUAAUACAGAGGGUGCGAGCGUUAAUCGGAUUUACUGGGCGUAAAGCGUGCGUAGGCGGCUUUUUAAGUCGGAUGUGAAAUCCCUGAGCUUAACUUAGGAAUUGCAUUCGAUACUGGGAAGCUAGAGUAUGGGAGAGGAUGGUAGAAUUCCAGGUGUAGCGGUGAAAUGCGUAGAGAUCUGGAGGAAUACCGAUGGCGAAGGCAGCCAUCUGGCCUAAUACUGACGCUGAGGUACGAAAGCAUGGGGAGCAAACAGGAUUAGAUACCCGUGUAGUCCCUGUCUCUUACAC
RNAcentral lists this ribosomal RNA (301 nucleotides) under uncultured bacterium. Its description in RNAcentral is "partial 16S ribosomal RNA". It matches the Rfam family "Bacterial small subunit ribosomal RNA", at positions 509 to 809 of the family's 1533-position model. The record is from RNAcentral.